CCCUUAGAUGUUCUGGGCCGCACGCGCGCUACACUGAUGCAUUCAACGAGCCUAUCCUUGACCGACAGGUCCGGGUAAUCUUUGAAUCUGCAUCGUGACGGGGAUAGAUUAUUGCAAUUAUUAAUCUUCAACGAGGAAUGCCUAGUAGGCGCAAGUCAUCAGCUUGCGUCGAUUACGUCCCUGCCCUUUGUACACACCACCCGUCGCUCCUACCGAUUGGGUGUGCUGGUGAAAUGUUCGGAUCGGCCGUUUGUCGCGGUUUCCGCGGCUCGUGGCUGAGAAGUUCAUUAAACCCUCCCACCUAGAGGAAGGAGAAGUCGUAACA
Molecule: ribosomal RNA, 325 nt
Filed under: uncultured eukaryote
Lineage: Eukaryota
Description: partial 18S ribosomal RNA
Rfam family: Eukaryotic small subunit ribosomal RNA
Source: RNAcentral